ACGAACGCUGGCGGCAUGCCUCACACAUGCAAGUCGAACGAGACCUUCGGGUCUAGUGGCGCACGGGUGCGUAACGCGUGGGAAUCUGCCCUUGGGUUCGGAAUAACAGUUGGAAACGACUGCUAAUACCGGAUGAUGACGUAAGUCCAAAGAUUUAUCGCCCAAGGAUGAGCCCGCGUAGGAUUAGCUAGUUGGUGAGGUAAGGGCUCACCAAGGCGACGAUCCUUAGCUGGUCUGAGAGGAUGAUCAGCCACACUGGGACUGAGACACGGCCCAGACUCCUACGGGAGGCAGCAGUGGGGAAUAUUGGACAAUGGGCGAAAGCCUGAUCCAGCAAUGCCGCGUGAGUGAUGAAGGCCUUAGGGUUGUAAAGCUCUUUUACCCGGGAUGAUAAUGACAGUACCGGGAGAAUAAGCUCCGGCUAACUCCGUG
This 432-nucleotide ribosomal RNA is filed under the name uncultured bacterium. RNAcentral describes it as "partial 16S ribosomal RNA". It matches the Rfam family "Bacterial small subunit ribosomal RNA", at positions 29 to 507 of the family's 1533-position model. The record is from RNAcentral.